UACCAGCUCUCCGAGUGGUAGGGAUGAUUAUUGGGCUUAAAGCGUCCGUAGCCGGCUUAGCAAGUUUCCUGUUAAAUUCAGCGACCUAAUCGUUGAGCCGCGGGAAAUACUACUAGGCUAGGAGGCGGGAGAGGUCGACGGUACUUCUGGGGUAGGGGUGAAAUCCUAUAAUCCCGGGAGGACCACCAGUGGCGAAGGCUGUCGACUAGAACGCGCUCGACGGUGAGGGACGAAAGCUGGGGGAGCGAACCGGAUUAGAUACCCGGGUAGUCCCAGCUGUAAACGAUGCGGGCUAGGUGUUGGGGUGGCUACGUGCCACUUCAGUGCCGCAGGGAAGCCAUUAAGCCCGCCGCCCUGGGGAGUACGGCCGCAAGGCUGAAACUUAAAGGAAUUGGCGGGGGAGCACCACAAGGCGUGAAGCUUGCGGUUC
Molecule: ribosomal RNA, 430 nt
Filed under: uncultured archaeon
Lineage: Archaea
Description: bacterial SSU rRNA
Rfam family: Archaeal small subunit ribosomal RNA
Source: RNAcentral